GGGCUGGUGGUCUAGUGGUAUGACGUUCGCUUGACAGGCGAAAGGUCGCCGGUUCAAUUCCGGCUCAGCCCA
Molecule: transfer RNA, 72 nt
Filed under: Candidatus Woesearchaeota archaeon
Lineage: Archaea; Nanobdellati; Candidatus Woesearchaeota
Description: tRNA-Val
Rfam family: tRNA
About the family: Transfer RNA (tRNA) molecules are approximately 80 nucleotides in length. Their secondary structure includes four short double-helical elements and three loops (D, anti-codon, and T loops).
Source: RNAcentral